Molecule: ribosomal RNA, 440 nt
Filed under: uncultured bacterium
Lineage: Bacteria
Description: partial 16S ribosomal RNA
Rfam family: Bacterial small subunit ribosomal RNA
Source: RNAcentral
CCUACGGGUGGCAGCAGUGGGGAAUAUUGCACAAUGGGGGAAACCCUGAUGCAGCGACGCCGCGUGCGCGAUGAAGUAUUUCGGUAUGUAAAGCUCUAUCAGCAGGGAAGAAGAUGACGGUACCUGACUAAUAAGCCCCGGCUAACUACGUGCCAGCAGCCGCGGUAAUACGUCGGGGGCAAGCGUUAUCCGGAUGUACUGGGUGUAAAGUGCGCGUAGACGGCGAUGCAAGCCAGAUGUGAAAGCCCGGGGCUCAACCCCGGGACUGCAUUGGGAACUGUGUGGCUGGAGUGUCGGAGAGGCAGGCGGAAUUCCAAGUGUAGCGGUGAAAUGCGUAGAUAUUAGGAGGAACACCAGUGGCGAAGGCGGCCUGCUGGACGAUGACUGACGUUGAGGCUCGAAAGCGUGGGGAGCAAACAGGAUUAGAUACCCGGGUAGUC